AUGAUGAUCCUGGAGAAGUGCCAGCCGCCGGAGUGGAAGGCAGAGAUGGAGGGGAACGGCAUGAGCACACACUCCAUGGGAGGCCUACUCACUGUGUGGAACGAGUGGGAAAUCCGCGUGCUUGUGCUCACCAGCCUUGCGCUGCAGGUGUUCCUCCUCUUCUCCGCCGGCAUCCGGAAGCGCAACGUCUCCGCCUUGCUCAGCGUGCUCCUCUGGCUCGCCUACCUACUCGCCGACUCCAUUGCCAUCUACGCGCUCGGGUACCUCUCCCAGACGCGCGUGCCCAGAGGCGGCAGUGACGAUGCACAGUCGUUCUUCAACCGCAACCACCGCAUCCAGGUCUUCUGGGCGCCGUUCCUGCUCCUUCACCUCGGUGGCCAGGACACCAUCACUGCCUUCUCCAUUGAAGACAACGAGCUCUGGAAGCGUCACCUGCUCAGCCUGUUGUCGCAGGUUGCCCUUGCUGUCUACGUCUUCUCCAAGUCUCGCCCUGGUGCCGAUAUCCUAUACCCGGCCAUGUUCAUGUUCCUGAGUGGCAUUCUUAAGUACGGCGAGAGGACAUGGGCGCUCAAGUGCGCCAGCAUGGACAACCUGCGGAGCGGCAUGGUCACGACGCCGGACCCGGGCCCCAAUUACGCCAAGUUCAUGGAGGAGUAUCGCUUCACACGUGAGGCGGGGCUCCAGGCGGAGAUCAUCAUCGAGCCAGAGCGACGCGCUGGUGUCACCGCCCCGGCAAUCACAGAGGAGACCGUGCCUUACGCCACGGUCAUCACCGAGGCGCGGUGCUUCUUCGUGACCUUCAAGCGCCUGUUCGUGAACCUCAUCCUCAGUUUCCAAGACCGUACCAUGAGCCAGGCCACGUUUCUGCGGCUGAUGCCGGAGCAGGCAUACAAGAUCAUCGAGAUCGAGCUGUCCCUCAUGUAUGACACCCUGCAUUCCAAGGCGGCGGUGAUACACACCUGGUAUGGCCGCCUGUUCCGCUGUGUCACACUCGUCUCCACGAUGACAGCGUGCGUCCUCUUCAAUGUGCCACACAAGGGUCGACGCGGGUCGUACGACGGCAUCGAUGUCCUCAUCACCAAUCUGUUAUUCGGAGGAGCACUUUGCUUGGAGGUUUCUGCCAUUGGUAUGAUGCUUGUAUCAUACUGGACAUACGCAGCUAUGCGAGGUUCCAUCUGCCAUUCGCUCAGCCAUCUGAUCCUCCGGUGUAUAAAGUAUUUCCGGCCAGAAAGCCGGGCGAAGUGGUCCAAUUUGAUGGCGCAGCACAAUCUCAUCAGCUUUUGCCUCCAGGACAAACCAACAUUGGUCACCAAGAUCCUGAGCCUGCUCGGACUCAAAGGGCACUUGGACAGUUGGCUGUACAUCUGGCACAUAGACGUGUCGCCCGAGCUGAAGAUCUCGGUGUUCAGGGAGCUGAAAGACAAGGCGCUCAGCAUCGUGGACACCGAGAGUUACCGCAAGUUCAGCAACCACAGGGGCCAGUGGGCGCUCCAGUGCAAGGGCUACUACAAGGAGCUCGGCUGGAGCGUCGAGGCAGAGUUCGACGAGAGCAUUCUUCUCUGGCACAUCGCCACGGACCUCUGCUUCUUCUCGGACGACGGCAACAACGACGACGCCAAGCUCACCGAGUAUGUCAGCAUCAGCAGGGCGGUGUCAAACUACAUGCUUUUCCUGCUCGUGGCUCGGCCGUUCAUGCUGACUGCGGGCAUCGGGCAGAUCCGGUUCGGGGACACAUGCGCGGAGGCCAAGAACUUCUUGGGGCGGGAGGCGACACGGCCGGAUGAGCGUGCCGCGGCAAGGAUGGUGCUGGAGGUGAACGCGGAGAUUGCGCCGAGGGACGUGAAGGGGGACAGGAGCAAGUCGGUGCUGUUCGACGCGUGCCGGCUGGCCAAGUCGCUGCUGGAGCUGCCGCCCGGCAAGAGGUGGCGGCUCAUUCGCGUGGUGUGGGUGGAGAUGCUCUGCUACGCCGCGAGCAAGUGCCGGAGCAACUUCCACGCCAAGCAGCUGAGCAACGGCGGCGAGCUGCUCACCGUCGUCUGGUUCUUGAUGACGCACCUGGGGAUGGGCGAGCAGUACCGGAUAGAGGCUGGACAUGCAAGAGCUAAACUAAUUGUGGAGAAGAACUGA
RNAcentral lists this ribosomal RNA (2127 nucleotides) under Triticum aestivum (bread wheat). RNAcentral describes it as "partial small subunit ribosomal RNA". The record is from RNAcentral. Lineage: Eukaryota; Viridiplantae; Streptophyta; Magnoliopsida; Poales; Poaceae.